UACAGAGACUGCAAGCGUUAUUCGGAUUCACUGGGCGUAAAGGGUGCGCAGGCGGUCGCGUGUGUCAGGUGUGAAAUCUCGGGGCUUAACUCCGAAACUGCGCCUGAAACUACGUGACUAGAGCAUUGGAGAGGGUAGCGGAAUUCACGGUGUAGCAGUGAAAUGCGUAGAUAUCGUGAGGAACACCAGAGGCGAAGGCGGCUACCUGGACAAUUGCUGACGCUCAGGCACGAAAGCGUGGGGAGCAAACAGG
RNAcentral lists this ribosomal RNA (253 nucleotides) under uncultured bacterium. RNAcentral's name for it is "partial 16S ribosomal RNA". It matches the Rfam family "Bacterial small subunit ribosomal RNA", at positions 524 to 776 of the family's 1533-position model. The record is from RNAcentral.